Molecule: non-coding RNA, 25 nt
Filed under: Cricetulus griseus (Chinese hamster)
Lineage: Eukaryota; Metazoa; Chordata; Mammalia; Rodentia; Cricetidae
Source: RNAcentral
ACAGGCUUUAGUCAUUAAUGUGAGA